GCCUGGGUGGCUCAGUCGGUUGAGCGUCCGACUUCGGCUCAGGUCACGAUCUCACGGUCCGUGAGUUCGAGCCCCACGUCGGGCU
Non-coding RNA from Felis catus (domestic cat), 85 nucleotides. The record is from Rfam. NCBI's taxonomy places the organism in Eukaryota, Metazoa, Chordata, Mammalia, Carnivora, Felidae.